RNAcentral lists this small nucleolar RNA (78 nucleotides) under Pteropus vampyrus (large flying fox). RNAcentral's name for it is "Small nucleolar RNA SNORD112 (ENSPVAG00000028874.1)". The record is from RNAcentral. Lineage: Eukaryota; Metazoa; Chordata; Mammalia; Chiroptera; Pteropodidae.
UGGACCAUUGAUGAGAGCAUGUUAUGAAGCAAGGCUUAUGAUUAAUCCAGCUCUGUACACUAAUAAAAAAAAUCCAAA